UAAAACCAGCUCUUCAAGUGGUCGGGAAUAUUAUUGGGCUUAAAGUGUCCGUAGCCGGUUUGGUAAGUUCCUGGUUAAAUCUGGCAGCUUAACUGUCAGUCAGCUAGGAAUACUACUUUACUAGAGGGUGGGAAAGGUUUGAGGUACUCCAGGGGUAGCGGUGAAAUGCGAUAAUCCUUGGGGGACCACCAGUGGCGAAGGCGUCAGACUGGAACACGCCUGACGGUGAGGGACGAAAGCCAGGGGAGCGAACGGGAUUAGAUACCCCGGUAGUCCUGGCCGUAAACGAUGCGUGCUAGGUGUUGGUAGGGCUUUGAGCUGUAUCAGUGCCGUAGGGAAACUGUUAAGCGCGCCGCCUGGGAAGUACGCUCGCAAGGGUG
This 380-nucleotide ribosomal RNA is filed under the name uncultured archaeon. RNAcentral describes it as "bacterial SSU rRNA". It matches the Rfam family "Archaeal small subunit ribosomal RNA", at positions 471 to 851 of the family's 1478-position model. The record is from RNAcentral.